This 357-nucleotide ribosomal RNA is filed under the name bacterium enrichment culture DGGE gel band G8. RNAcentral's name for it is "bacterial SSU rRNA". It matches the Rfam family "Bacterial small subunit ribosomal RNA", at positions 958 to 1314 of the family's 1533-position model. The record is from RNAcentral.
AACGCGAAGAACCUUACCUGAUCUUGACAUCCCGAUGACCGCUUCGUAAUGGAAGCUUUUCUUCGGAACAUCGGAGACAGGUGGUGCAUGGUUGUCGUCAGCUCGUGUCGUGAGAUGUUGGGUUAAGUCCCGCAACGAGCGCAACCCCUAUCUUCAGUAGCCAGCAGGUUAAGCUGGGCACUCUAGAGAGACUGCCAGGGAUAACCUGGAGGAAGGUGGGGAUGACGUCAAAUCAUCAUGCCCCUUAUGACCAGGGCUACACACGUGCUACAAUGGCGUAAACAAAGAGAAGCGAACUCGCGAGGCUAAGCAAAUCUCAAAAAUAACGUCUCAGUUCGGAUUGUAGUCUGCAACUCG